UGCCAGCCGCCGCGGUAAUACGGAGGGGGUUAGCGUUGUUCGGAAUUACUGGGCGUAAAGCGUACGUAGGCGGUCUGGUAAGUCAGAGGUGAAAUCCUGCAGCUCAACUGUAGCAUUGCCUUUGAUACUGCCAGACUUGAGUUAUUGUGAAGUUGUUAGAAUGUGUAGUGUAGCGGUGAAAUGCAUAGAUAUUACACAGAAUACCGAUUGCGAAAGCAGAUUACUAACAAUAUACUGACGCUGAGGGACGAAAGCGUGGGUAGCGAACAGGAUUAGAUA
RNAcentral lists this ribosomal RNA (279 nucleotides) under uncultured bacterium. RNAcentral's name for it is "partial 16S ribosomal RNA". It matches the Rfam family "Bacterial small subunit ribosomal RNA", at positions 506 to 784 of the family's 1533-position model. The record is from RNAcentral.